GUGGGUGGACUACAGGCAUAGUCUAGCAUGAUAGACGAACAUGUAAUGUUGGCACAUUCUAACACAUUGGACUUCAAAAAUAAAAAACUUGUAAGGUUGGAAGAACAAAUUUCCUAUUCUACAAAAAGGAAAUGCAUCAUUUCUGUAUAUUUCUUAACACAAAUGCAAUUAAAAUUCCACAAGGACAUGUUGGAAGAUCCUGUUUAGUAC
This 210-nucleotide long non-coding RNA is filed under the name Mytilus galloprovincialis (Mediterranean mussel). Lineage: Eukaryota; Metazoa; Mollusca; Bivalvia; Mytilida; Mytilidae. The record is from RNAcentral.